Non-coding RNA from Caerostris darwini, 102 nucleotides. NCBI's taxonomy places the organism in Eukaryota, Metazoa, Arthropoda, Arachnida, Araneae, Araneidae. The record is from the annotation of a GenBank genome assembly.
ACGGCCAUACCAUGCUGAAUAUACCCGGAUCUCGUUAGAUCACCGAAGUCAAGCAUCAUUGGGCGAGGAUGGGUGACCACUUGGGAACACCGCGUGCCGUUG